Molecule: long non-coding RNA, 1195 nt
Organism: Dreissena polymorpha
Lineage: Eukaryota; Metazoa; Mollusca; Bivalvia; Myida; Dreissenidae
Exons: 3
Source: RefSeq, a predicted model, not a curated record
UUGCAUGGUUUGAGUGAACUUAAUGGUUUUGUUUCCUAUGUCACUUGCGCAAAUCGCAUGCUCACAAAGCUUUUUGAACGGACAUGUUUUAUUAACCGCAAGAACUUCGUAGCAGCUGAGCACACAAAAAAUAAUCUCGUAAAAUGAAAAUGAAGUUGUGUGGGAUUUUUGUUCUACUUGUGUGCUGUGCAGGUUUUUGCGGAGCGAUUCGGUGCUAUGUAUGUUCAACUAUCAGCACCAGCAACUGUGCAGACACGUUCAACCCGAUUGGUAUCGUACAGGAAGAUAACUGUGUAGGCUGCUUGAAACUCAAAGGAAAGCAAGUUGGCAUACAGCUGAUUGAUAGGUCAUGCCUUCCAUUGUCAUCGCCUGUCUCCGGAUGCACGUCUGGCUCACAGCACGGGUUCGAUGCCGCCGCAUGUCACUGUAGCACAGACCUCUGUAACAGCGCGACGUGUUCAACUGCAAUAUUUACGAUCAUUGUGAUUCCUCUUGUCAUGUUAUUGAAAUAUCUGUGAUUGUUCUUUUAAGAAUUACAUAUAUCAGAGUAUUCAUUGAUAUAAUGGACAGUGCGCCGUUAUGUUCUUUUCAAUAAUUGGCAGUGAUCCGUGAUGUUAUUCUUUGUUGCUUUAUUUUCAUUUUUUACUUUUAUUUCCACACAAAAGUUCUAUUUAUAGAGAUAAAUGAUCAUAUUAAUAAUCGUACACUACUUCGGUUUCAAUUUUGAUGCAUAUACUUAAUCGCAGAAAUAGACGAAGUGUGAAAAAAUAUAUGUGUUUUUUUUAAAUUGUCACAAUAAAACAUAAUAGAAUUUUAUUAUCGAAAAUGACAGUUAAUCUAAAGAUGUGCAAUCGUUAUAUGGCAAAAUGAAAUCCCAAUUUGUAUUGAAACCCAUUUCAUUUGAUCUAUUUUUAAACGACGUGAUCACAUAAUUAUAUUCGCGGCGCAAUGUAAAAUGGCUGCGCAACGACGUCUAUGUAAAAUGGCUGCGGAACAAUGCAUUUGUACAAUUGCUGCGCAAAGAUGUUUAUGUAAAAAGGUUGCGAAAUGACGCGUAUAAAAAUGGCUGCUUAACGAUGCAUAUGUAAAAUGGCUUCGCCAUGAAGAUCAUGUAAAAUAGCUGCGCAGCGACGUAAAUGUAAAAUGGCGUGCAAUAAAAUAAAUCUGGCUCUUACAUUUUUUAGCACUUGAAUCA